Non-coding RNA from Phascolarctos cinereus (koala), 915 nucleotides. Lineage: Eukaryota; Metazoa; Chordata; Mammalia; Diprotodontia; Phascolarctidae. The record is from RefSeq and is a predicted model, not a curated record.
AACAAACUCAAGGAAGGGAAGUGACUUUCCCAAAGUCACACAGUGACAUCCCAAUGAUGCAUGCAGGCAAAUGAAGAAAUAUUUCAGAGCCCAAAGAGCCCAGUUCUGUCCAGAGGAGUCUCAGAAUCAUUGGUUAUUAUGGACUGGGAAAAGGAAUACAUUUUUGAGGGGGUUAGAUUCAACCUCCUCUCAGGCCAUCCACAUUUCAGAUACGGAGACAUAAAAGACUCGGCUGUAUUUCUAAACAAGCCCUUAGAAUUUCUAUGAGCCUGCUCCCUCCCCCCAACUGGAAAAGAAGACAUCCAUUUUCUAAUGGGCUCACAGCUGUCUCCAGCCUCCGGAAAGGCAUCCCCGGAGCAGUCGGUGUGAAGUGGGUAGUUAAUUCCAGGCCUUCCUGCCUUGAAGUGUCCCUGGGACUGGGGGCUUCACUGCAUUCCCUUCACACCUGGCCUAUAUGGGGGAAGGCUGCCCAGAAGAGGCUUUGAGAAACAGCCAGGUUGGUGGGAGGGGACUCUGACAAGGCUGGCUGCUGCUGUUGCUGCUGAUGAAGAUUUCACAUCAAGUCCCAACACUGUGCUCCAGCCCUGGAUGCAGCUAGGCUCAGCUGUUUUGGUCACCAAUGCACUAGUGAAAGGGAAGAAUGCUUUAUCAUGUGAAAUAAAGGAAACACCUUGGUGCAAAGUGGAAAGAAGGAUAUGGCUCUGGAAGAGAAGACCUGGGUUUCAAUCCAGGUUCUGACGUUUACUACCGAUGUGACUGAGCAAGUCCCCUUCGUCUCUUUUGUUCUCAGUUUCCUUAUCUAUAAAAUGAGGGGGUGGGUAGUAUUCUUCAUCUUUGACCCUCUAGAAUCAUGUUUGGUCAUUGGAUUGAUUUGAGUUCUGAAGUCAUGCAAAGUUGUUUUGUCUUUAUAAUGUU